RNAcentral lists this microRNA (24 nucleotides) under Schmidtea mediterranea. RNAcentral's name for it is "sme-miR-2181". The record is from miRBase by way of RNAcentral. Lineage: Eukaryota; Metazoa; Platyhelminthes; Tricladida; Dugesiidae.
UAUGCUGUUAAUUAGCGAUUGGUU